GAUGAAGAACGUAGCGAAAUGCGAUAAUUAAUGUGAAUUGCAGAAUUCAGUGAAUCAUCGAAUCUUUGAACGCACAUUGCGCCCGCCAGUAUUCUGGCGGGCAUGCCUGUUCGAGCGUCAUUUCAACCCUCAGGCCCCCAGUGCCUGGUGUUGGGGAUCGGCCCAGCCUUCCUGUAAGGCCGCCGGCCCCGAAAUCUAGUGGCGGUCUCGCUGUAGUCCUCCUCUGCGUAGUAGCACAACCUCGCAGUUGGAACGCGGCGGUGGCCAUGCCGUUAAACACCCCACUUCUGAAAGUUGACCUCGGAUCAGGUAGGAAUACCCGCUGAACUUAAGCAUAUCAAUAAGCGGAGGA
RNAcentral lists this unclassified non-coding RNA (352 nucleotides) under soil metagenome. RNAcentral describes it as "partial contains 5.8S ribosomal RNA, internal transcribed spacer 2, and large subunit ribosomal RNA". The stretch from base 1 to 120 matches the Rfam family "5.8S ribosomal RNA", at positions 35 to 154 of the family's 154-position model. The record is from RNAcentral.